UUCCGGGAGCGUACAGUUGGCGUUUGAACGCUACAGUGGAUGCCUAACUGCUGCUGGUAGCGCGCAGCCAGGUUUGCUGACAGAGGAAAUAGCGGUUGGGACCCUGGGCUUCCACGUUAUGGAAAUGCCAUUGGCUAGCGCACAGUAGCUGAGGUUCGGCUCCUUUUCCUGUCAGGGACUGAGCGCCAGCGGGGACAUGGCAGCGGCCACAACCAGCAGAAGCCCUGCGAGACCGGGAGAUGGGGCUAGUGGCCUGAGGAGAGUUUCUAGGGUCGCGCGGAUCCCCUGAAAAUCUCAGACGGAGGACCAGCCUCUCAACUUCAGUGCGCAUGCGCGGGCCGAACUUUUGAAAAGCCAUUUGCAAGACUAUAUGGAAUGCUAGUGAUAUCAAAACAGUUUCGGCAAACAUUUGGCUAACUGCAGAAUUAUGGUUCGACUAACCUUGGAUCUAGUUGUUAAAACUGUCAGUCACAAAAACUACAAAGAAGAGUCCCUGGCACAGUACCUGAGAAAGAUAACUCACCUGAACUUAUCAGAUAAAAAUAUUGAUACAAUUGAUGACCUCUCUUUGUGCAGAAAUCUUAAUGUCCUGUAUCUGUAUGAUAACCAAAUUAGACAAAUCCAUAACUUGGGCUUUGCUUCAAAUCUAACACAUCUCUACCUGCAAAACAAUUGCAUUUCAUGUAUAGAGAACCUCACAUCACUGAAAAAACUUGAGAAACUGUAUCUGGGAGGCAAUUACAUCACUGUAAUUGAAGGCUUGGAAACAUUAGAAGAACUGAGAGAGCUGCAUGUCGAAAGCCAACGGCUUCCUCUUGGAGAAAAGCUCUUGUUUGAUCCAAGAACUCUUCAUUCUCUGGCAAAAUCUUUGUCAGUGUUGAAUAUCAGCAAUAAUAAUAUAGAUGAACUAGAAGAAUUAGGACUUCUGGAAAAUAUUUCCCAUCUCAUAGCAGUUGACAACCAGCUUCACCAUGUGAAGGAUUUGGAGUUUGUUUUGAACAAAUGGACCAAGCUGUGCAGUAUGGAUCUUAAAGGGAAUCCUGUUUGCCGUAAACCAAAAUACAGGGACAGGCUGAUUCUACAGUCAAAAACUCUAGAAUCCCUUGAUGGGAAAGAAAUAAAAGAAAUGGAAAGACAAUUCCUAAUGAAUUGGAAAGCAUCCAAAGCCUCAAGGAAAAAAAGCAAGGAAGAAAGCAUGACAAAUGAACAUGCAACUUAUCCACAUUUCUAUGACUUUGGAACAGGCCAUCCAAUUGUUCCUGUUUAUUGCAAUCCUUCUGGAAAAGGAAAACCAAAAUUUCUUAUUUUAUCUGAUGUACAGAGGUCUCCACAUAACAGAGGAAAAUUUCUGCAAAGACCCCAGGAAGGAAGUAACAUUAAUGUUAGCAAAAAAAUCAGAUCUUCAGUCUAGCAAGCUUAACUCAGAGUUAGAGAACAUUUUUCUGCAGGAUUGAUACAUAAGAGAGAAAAAGAGUAUGAGAGAUUCAGAGACAAUGAAUGCAGUCACCUGACCUUGAAAGAUGCUCAAAGUUCACAACCAAAAAACGAUCUAUUGGAACCUCAUCUCCUCAGUCAGAUACCACUGUAACCAGAGACUGAAAAGACAACUGCAUCUUUCUGUUCACUUAAUUCCCAGCAGAAUUAUUGCUACACUAUAAUUGGGGUAUAUCAGAACCUGGUAUGAAAUGAUACAAGUAAGAGCCCAAUGCUUUAUUCAAAAAGAACAUUUUUACAAGAUUUUCCUUUUAUGCUCACAAAAGAAAUUGUGACAUCAGUCACCACUAUUUUGCAUAAUACAUGUGUAUGCAUUAAUUUAUAUCUAUUUUAUGGUAACAUUUUCUGAAAUAAAAGGCUUUCAGUUGGGUAAUACAGUUUCAUUUAUAUGAAAGAAAUGCUAGGACUACCAAUUAUACAAUUUUUCUCACAUUAAAAUCUAAAUAUUAUUAAUGGGUAUUUGAAUACAAAUGUACAGUAUAAUUUAGAAAUAAAUUGACUCAUCUUACAGAAAAACAGGGUAUGUGGAUGAUACAAAAAAAUACAGAGGGGUGUCUGCCACUCUUCAGAUCUUUCAAGAAACCUUAAUAUUCUGCUUCUGCAACACAGACAACAAAAACAGCUUUUGAUGCAAUGCCUUCCUCAUACACAUUUUAGAUACUUUUUGAAAUGUGAUAUUCUGUAAAAAUAAAUAAACAAAAUGUUAAGUUUUGGGUUUUGCUUGUUUUUUU
This is a non-coding RNA of Pelodiscus sinensis (Chinese soft-shelled turtle), 2225 nucleotides long. The record is from RefSeq and is a predicted model, not a curated record. Lineage: Eukaryota; Metazoa; Chordata; Testudines; Trionychidae.